UACAGAGGGUGCAAGCGUUGUUCGGAAUUACUGGGCGUAAAGCGAGUGUAGGCGGCUUAUUAAGUCAGAUGUGAAAUCUCUUGGCUCAACUGAGGAACUGCAUCUGAUACUGGUAAGCUUGAGUGUCGGAGGGGAUGGUAGAAUUCCUGGUGUAGAGGUGAAAUUCGUAGAUAUCAGGAGGAAUACCUGUGGCGAAGGCGACCAUCUGGAAGACAACUGACGCUGAGACUCGAAAGCGUGGGUAGCAAACAGG
Molecule: ribosomal RNA, 253 nt
Filed under: uncultured bacterium
Lineage: Bacteria
Description: partial 16S ribosomal RNA
Rfam family: Bacterial small subunit ribosomal RNA
Source: RNAcentral